Molecule: small nuclear RNA, 51 nt
Filed under: Canis lupus dingo (dingo)
Lineage: Eukaryota; Metazoa; Chordata; Mammalia; Carnivora; Canidae
Description: Makes More Granules Regulator RNA (mmgR) (ENSCAFG00020019565.1)
Source: RNAcentral
AGUACUUGCCCUCCUUGGGCUUUUCCUCCCAAAUAGCUCUUUUAGGAGAAA